Molecule: ribosomal RNA, 424 nt
Filed under: uncultured prokaryote
Description: bacterial SSU rRNA
Rfam family: Bacterial small subunit ribosomal RNA
Source: RNAcentral
UGGGGAAUAUUGGACAAUGGGGGCAACCCUGAUCCAGCCAUGCCGCGUGAGUGAAGAAGGCCUUAGGGUUGUAAAACUCUUUCACCAGGGACGAUAAUGACGGUACCUGGAGAAGAAGCCCCGGCUAACUCCGUGCCAGCAGCCGCGGUAAUACGGAGGGGGCUAGCGUUGUUCGGAAUCACUGGGCGUAAAGCGCGCGUAGGCGGCUUGGAAAGUCAGAGGUGAAAGCCCGGGGCUCAACUCCGGAAUUGCCUUUGAAACUUCCUCGCUUGAGAUCGGGAGAGGUGAGUGGAAUUCCUAGUGGAGAGGUGAAAUUCGCAGAUAUUAGGAAGAACACCGGUGGCGAAGGCGGCUCACUGGCCCGCAUCUGACGCUGAGGCGCGAAAGCGUGGGGAGCAAACAGGAUUAGAUACCCCCGUAGUCC